CUCUCUCCCUCUCUCUCUCUCUCUAUCUCUCCUCGCUCGCUCUCUCUCUCAAUCUCUUCUCCUUGCUAGCGCCAUCAUCUCCCACCAUGGCUCCUCUAUCAUCUUCCUUUAAUUUUUUAAUAGAAUCUGAAAGUUUUGGUUGGUUAAUCUCUAUUCAAAGAAUCUGUUCACUUUAGUGUUCUUGAUCCUUCAGUUCUUAGAUGAAGAGAAGUUCAAAGAAUCUGUUCACAAGCUAGAGCAGGAAUCUGGGUUCCACUUUAACAUAAAGUACUUUGAAGAGAAAGCUCUCGCUGGUGAAUGGGACGAAGUGGAGAAGUAUCUCUCAGCUUUCACUAAGGUUGAUGAUAAUCGUUACUCUAUGAAGAUUUUCUUUGAGAUCAGGAAGAAAAAGUAUCUCGAAGCUCUAGAUCGAUUUGUUUUACAAGGAGAUCACUCAGCUUCUGACUCUUGAGAAUUUCAGGUGAUUUUUGUUUGGUAUUAACGAACACAUUGCCUGCUGAGACAGAGACUUCUGAUCAAGGAGAAAAACAGAACAAUAGAUGUGGCAAGAGGAAAGAUUUCGACAAGAAGGUGAAAAGCUCGACGAAGAAGAAGAACAAAAGCUCUGAAGAGAACGAGAAGCUGCCGUAUGUUCAUGUUAGAGCUCGACAUGGUCAAGCAACAGAUAGUCAUAGCUUAGCAGAACGAGUAACUUUUGCAUCUCUCACAUUACCUCUUCAUUAGUGACAAUAUUGUAUAGUUUUCAUGAUUUAGUUAAGUGUCUUUAAUGAAGAAAAGUGGUUUCUGGUGUGAUAAAGUGGCCAGUUAGGUAAUUAUGUAAUGCCUCUGUGUAGCUCCAUCGCCGAAUGUUCGGAGGAGAAUAUUCAGAACUUGGGUUUUGGAGACUGAGAAGACAGAUGAAGAAAGCAAUGGAGUACAGGAAGUUAGGGGAUUCCGAGCUCAAUAUCAGCGAGAUUACUAUGGGCACUGUAAGAAUAAGAUUCAUCUCCUUCUCUAUUGCUAUCUGAUCAGUGAGUUGGUGUUGUGUAGCUUAAUCGAUUGAAAGUGAUUUAUGUUAUGGCCCCUAAGAAAUAUGAGUGUUUAUCUUAUCUUAUGCAUUGGUUUAUGAGUGAGUGAUUUUGAAAGUGAUUUUAGCUUAAUCGAUUGAAAGUCUCAACCUUUUUUUUCAAAACUACAAGAGUAAACAAGUAGCACUUCUACUU
Long non-coding RNA from Raphanus sativus (radish), 1202 nucleotides. RefSeq lists it as uncharacterized. The transcript is spliced from 4 exons. NCBI's taxonomy places the organism in Eukaryota, Viridiplantae, Streptophyta, Magnoliopsida, Brassicales, Brassicaceae. The record is from RefSeq and is a predicted model, not a curated record.